GUACUUCAAAUUUCUUGAUUUUUUUUUUUUAAUUUAAAUUUUGAAUGUUAGAGCUGAAUUUCCCAGUUUCCCAUCGCAAAGCCAAAGAAUUCGGCUUAAAAACUUUUGAGUUCCGAGGAAAGUUGACAUUUUACUGGGGCAAUCGACCCUAAGUACACCUACAUAAAACUACAACCGAUUCGAUGCAGUAUUUACUCAGUGAUUAGACAACGGCCGUUCCAUAUGCAAAUAUUUCCCCUCGCUGUGCCAGUUGUCAAAUAAACCACAUAAAUGUGGUAUAGUUCAUUAAGAGGAGUACUGGAAAGGAAGUUGUCCACUCGAAAAAACAAAUAGCGAAGCGAAAAACUCAAAGGAAAAAGUGCUGGCACAGAAAUCUUGCCUUUUGCCGACGGUAAAACCAAUCUUUUUUUUUUUGUGAAGGCGGCUUUAUAAAUCUGAAAGAGCAUGCGCAGUCAGCAAAGAGAGACAAUUAAGAGAAAAACAAGAAACGUAGAAAAAAAAACGACCACCUGUCUGAAAAAUGACAACACAACAAAGCGAAGCAAAGGAAGGGGGCGAAAAGGAGGAACGGAGAGCGCAGCCGCAAACGGAAAACGAAGGAAGGGAAGACAACGACAAAGAGUGAGCGAAAAGAAGGCUGAAUAAUGCAAAUGUGUUGUCGUUCGCCUUUGCGUUCGCAAAGAUCACACCACCUCCCAUGGCUAAUAAACCUAAAGAAAAAAGAGUUUAGGAGGCGGAAACCCGAGCUCAGGAAAUGCCCAGGUAAAAGUUAUAAAACUAAUAGUUCAAUGAUCUUCAUUCAGUCGCAGCUGUAAAAAACUGUGAGUGUUCAAACGGAGUAUGGAAGAAUGAAACUGCCCGAUGUUCACGAAUCUGAGUUCUGGUAUCGAAUAUUUAAUUGCUGGAAAAUGAUCUGCAAUGAUUAAUGGAUCGUAGGACCUACAAAAUAUGAACCGACACGAACUGGAGAACGAAAUUUAGAAAUCCGUUGGCCUGCUGUUGUGACUGUUGAAGUUCGUGUCUCUGGUUGCGUGGCAAACUGGCCCCGCCCCCAUUGCCAGCGCCG
Drosophila elegans is the source of this 1066-nucleotide long non-coding RNA. RefSeq lists it as uncharacterized. NCBI's taxonomy places the organism in Eukaryota, Metazoa, Arthropoda, Insecta, Diptera, Drosophilidae. The transcript is spliced from 3 exons. The record is from RefSeq and is a predicted model, not a curated record.